This 74-nucleotide small nucleolar RNA is filed under the name Leptobrachium leishanense (Leishan spiny toad). Its description in RNAcentral is "Small nucleolar RNA R38 (ENSLLEG00000009951.1)". It matches the Rfam family "Small nucleolar RNA R38". From Rfam's summary of the family: snoR38 is a C/D box small nucleolar RNA conserved across yeast, human, Arabidopsis and rice. It is encoded in the intron of elongation factor-1 gamma in both pombe and cerevisiae. snoR38 guides the methylation of 2'-O-ribose sites in 28S rRNA. The record is from Rfam by way of RNAcentral. Lineage: Eukaryota; Metazoa; Chordata; Amphibia; Anura; Megophryidae.
AAAAGCCUGUGAUGUAUUUGUUAUCCCUGUCUGAAAACUCAUGUGAGGGAAACAGCUUUAAAACUGAGGCUUUU